CCGCUCUUACAAGGUUCGCGUCUUCUCCCUCCUAAAAAGUUCCAUUUCAUAGACGGUCCACAGCGUCUAUCGACAUUCGUACUUGCCGUACAAAUCGCGAAAUUUCCUCCCGCCAUAGACGCCCUGUAGGCUUUAUACUUGCACGCAACACACAAGAAACAAACAACCCAACAUAAAUCAAGGACUCGGAAGAAUAUUCUUUCUUUAUCUUUU
This 213-nucleotide long non-coding RNA is filed under the name Citrus x clementina. RNAcentral describes it as "Citrus clementina (C. clementina) long non-coding RNA (CCLE_LNC003097)". The record is from RNAcentral. Lineage: Eukaryota; Viridiplantae; Streptophyta; Magnoliopsida; Sapindales; Rutaceae.